GAUGAACGCUGGCGGCGUGCCUAAUACAUGCAAGUCGAGCGAACAGACAAGGAGCUUGCUCCUCUGACGUUAGCGGCGGACGGGUGAGUAACACGUGGAUAACCUACCUAUAAGACUGGGAUAACUUCGGGAAACCGGAGCUAAUACCGGAUAAUAUAUUGAACCGCAUGGUUCAAUAGUGAAAGACGGUUUUGCUGUCACUUAUAGAUGGAUCCGCGCCGCAUUAGCUAGUUGGUAAGGUAACGGCUUACCAAGGCAACGAUGCGUAGCCGACCUGAGAGGGUGAUCGGCCACACUGGAACUGAGACACGGUCCAGACUCCUACGGGAGGCAGCAGUAGGGAAUCUUCCGCAAUGGGCGAAAGCCUGACGGAGCAACGCCGCGUGAGUGAUGAAGGUCUUCGGAUCGUAAAACUCUGUUAUUAGGGAAGAACAAAUGUGUAAGUAACUAUGCACGUCUUGACUGUACCUAAUCAGAAAGCCACGGCUAACUACGUG
Molecule: ribosomal RNA, 497 nt
Filed under: uncultured bacterium
Lineage: Bacteria
Description: partial 16S ribosomal RNA
Rfam family: Bacterial small subunit ribosomal RNA
Source: RNAcentral